Molecule: long non-coding RNA, 766 nt
Organism: Girardinichthys multiradiatus
Lineage: Eukaryota; Metazoa; Chordata; Actinopteri; Cyprinodontiformes; Goodeidae
Exons: 3
Source: RefSeq, a predicted model, not a curated record
CAGAUUCUUAAUGCUGGCCCUAAAUCAGUCUUCUGUGAAAGCAUAUUAACUACUCAUUGCAUCAAACCACUAAUGCAUCUUCUUGGAGGAAAUGAAAUUCGCUCACUGCAUACAAAGUGGAUGAAAGUUAUCAGAUUAAUGCUGUGUGCAGGGUUGUGCGUGUAAUUGCAGGGUGUGUCUGGCAGGUGUGUCCUUCCAGCUGGAGCUCAGCAAGGUCAUCAAGGAAGAGUUUAUUGAGGAAUGGAUUUGUUGAUGUGGAUACCAGAUUGUUCUUACUCAUCAAGUGGUAAUCAGCCUUUCUCUAUGUUUUGUUCUUCAUGUUUCUUUGUUCCAAAACUUGCUUUCUUGUUGUCUCUCAUCCAGAUAAACAUGUCUCCAAAACUACAGUUUGUUCCUGGAUCUUGGUCCUCAGACUCUGGAAGAUUCACAUCAAAUAUCUCUCUGUUAUCUUCCUUACCACUCCUCCAUCAACUGGCUGGACUCUUCUACUUUCCCUUUCUCUCACUUGGCUGUCCACCCUCCAAUGCCAUGAGGAACAAGGGGAUUACCAAACUGCACUGCAUACCACAACCUGCCAACCUCAGUGGAUAGACUCAAAUCAUUCUUGGAAACUUCACCAUCUCAUCAACAGUAAGGGCCAUCCUGGAACUCUCUGCUGAACCUAUAAGAACAUUUGUCUACUUAUCUGGUACAGUAAACUGUUUAAAUCGUUCCCUGUUGUCUGUAGUUGUUGCAUGCAUAAGGGUCUCACAGACAAACAAAAUAA